GACGAACGCUGGCGGCGUGCUUAACACAUGCAAGUCGAACGGAGAGGCCCUGCUUUUGUGGGUUGCUCGAGUGGCCACCGGGUGAGUAACAGGUGAGUAACCUGCCUUUGACUUUGGGAUACCUUGAGGAACCUGGGGCUAUUACCGGAUAGGCACUCCUGCUGCAUGGUGGGAGUUGGAAAGUUUCGGCGGUUGGGGAUGGACUCGUGGCUUAUCUGGUUGUUGGUCGGGUAGUGGAUGACCAAGGCUUGGACGGGUAGCAGGACCGGGAGGGUGACUGGCCACAUUGGGACUGAGAUACGGCGCAGACCAGUACGGGAGGCAGCAGUGGGGAAUGUUGCACAAUGGGGGGAAGCCGGAUGCAGCAACGCCGAGGGCGGGAUGACGGCCUUCGGGUUGUAAACCGCUUUCGCCUGUGACGAAGCGUGAGUGACGGUAAUGGGUAAAGAAGCACCGGCUAACUACGUG
RNAcentral lists this ribosomal RNA (468 nucleotides) under uncultured bacterium. RNAcentral describes it as "partial 16S ribosomal RNA". It matches the Rfam family "Bacterial small subunit ribosomal RNA", at positions 28 to 507 of the family's 1533-position model. The record is from RNAcentral.